Molecule: ribosomal RNA, 474 nt
Filed under: uncultured bacterium
Lineage: Bacteria
Description: partial 16S ribosomal RNA
Rfam family: Bacterial small subunit ribosomal RNA
Source: RNAcentral
AGCGAACGCUGGCGGCAGGCCUAACACAUGCCAGUCGAACGAACUCUUCGGAGUUAGUGGCGGACGGGUGAGUAACACGUGGGAACGUGCCUUUUGGUUCGGAAUAACUCAGGGAAACUUGUGCUAAUACCGAAUGUGCCCUUCGGGGGAAAGAUUUAUCGCCAUUAGAGCGGCCCGCGUCUGAUUAGCUAGUUGGUGAGGUAACGGCUCACCAAGGCGACGAUCAGUAGCUGGUCUGAGAGGAUGACCAGCCACACUGGGACUGAGACACGGCCCAGACUCAGACGGGAGGCACCGGGGGGGACUCGGGCGGAAGGGGCGAAAGCCAGACGGAGCCGGGCCGCGGCAAUGAUGAAGGUCUUAGGAUGGUAAAAUUCUUUCACCGGGAAAGAGAACGCCGUGACCGGAAGAAGAACCCCCGGCUAACUUCGGGCCAGCGGCCGCGGUAAUACUCGGAAGCGCACCCGCCUGAAC